Saccostrea cuccullata (small rock oyster) is the source of this 2063-nucleotide long non-coding RNA. RefSeq lists it as uncharacterized. Lineage: Eukaryota; Metazoa; Mollusca; Bivalvia; Ostreida; Ostreidae. The record is from RefSeq and is a predicted model, not a curated record. The transcript is spliced from 3 exons.
ACCAACAAUUAUUUAAUUACUUUAUAACUGUGUGUUGCAUAUGUAAACUAAGGGGGUGGAUUUUUUUAGUUUAUUACAUAAUGGAGACUUGGGUUACCAAAAACAGAAAAUAUUGACCAUGUUGAGGCAGUGAGCUGUCCUGGUCAGCACCCAGGUGUAUUCAUCAACACGGGCACGUUUUAUCAAAAUGCAGAUAUGCUUUCCAGGAUGGUGACUGAAGCUCAUCUUUGUAAACACCUAAAUGCCUAGAAUGGACUUCAAAACAGAUUCUGAAAGUUUAACCAGUAUAAUCUUUAAUAUGGACAAAAAGUAUACACAUGGAACACACACAAGAACAGAUGGGUCCAUGCCAAGCUAAAGAUUAAUGCAGAAGGUAAGUUCAAUUUUUCAUUUCGCAACUCUUGGUUUUAUCCAGACUGGACCUUACAUAUAAGUUAAGUCGGCUUCAGUAUAAUAGAAGGAUAUGGAGAUAACGAACAGCAAACACGGACCCCUGAAACAUCAGAGGUAGGAUCAGGUGCCAUAAUAAAACACCAAUGCACUUACUAUUCGGAAAAUAGCUUGUUAAUCAUCUCCCUCGACAGCAAACUAUUUCCCUCGGCUGCAUCUUGGGGAAUAGUUGCUGUCUUGGGGAUGAUAAACUAGCUAUUGUCCUCAUAGCCAGUAAAUAGGUGUACAUGUAUACUGUUUUUAGCUCUUCUGAGCAAUAGGCUCAAAGAGCUAAUGCUAUGGCCAUUUGUGUGGUGUGCAUAAUUUUUUUAGAAUGUGGGUCAUAACUCGAGAUCCCCUUGGACAAUCAUUGUCAAAUUUGUCAGAGGGCAUCCUUGGCCCAAGGGGUACCAUUUAUACUAAAACUAGGGUUUGGACCAUUAUACAAGGGGAGAUAAUCAGGAAAAUAAGACCAAGAGAACUUUAUAUUGGCCUAGAAUUGUUAAACUUUGUCAGUUGAGGCAUCUUGGGUUUUUGGAGAAUGUCAACCAAAAAGUAGGUCACCAUGACCUACUUAUGGUUUUUUAUAGCUCUAUUGAAAUAUCUUCAGUCCUAACUGGCUAAGAAUCAUCAAAUUUCUCGGUUGAUGUAUUUUGGGUCUUAUAAACUUAGAGGCUUCUAGUCCUAGUGAUAGAUUGUACAAUUGAUCAGAAGAGCGAUUCAAGGCCGUUGGGUUUCUUGUUGUCCAUCGUCAUACACUGUGCUCUGUCUGGUAAAAUUUUAGCAUUUACAGUCUCCUCCCCCCUCACCAACACCCAACCUAAGGGGGGGGGGUUAACCCAUCAAAAGUAUUCAAAAUUGUAUUUUUUUAAUUGGACAUCAAGCAAACUGUUAGCAAGAUUUUAAUAAGCAUUGAGUCCUACUAAAAUUAUGAAAUUCAUAAAGGAUAGGUGGAUCAGAUGUAAAGGCACAGCUUUAUUAAUUAAUCAUAAACUGAAAAUGCAUUGAUUCAUUGAAAAUCUAUAUAAUGCUCCUAAGUUGAAAGCAAAAGGACUAAGUUCAUGACAAUGAGGAACAAGUUUUAUACCCCUAUAAUCAAAGAUUCUGGGGUACAUCUAUAUAGCUUUUGCCUGUCUGUCUGUCUGCAAAAUCUUUUCACAGUGGCCAUAUCAUUUUAUUGGGUGAAAGUAUGGCCUUCAUAUUUCACAGACCUGGGUAUUCAUUGUGACAAUACUUUUGUACUGGUACACCAAAUUAACCUUUUGAAUUGAACUUGGAGUAUGACUCAAUUUUAAGAAAGUUUCAUAACUUGAAUCUUGGCCUUACCUUUUGAACAGCUGGUGCAAGGGCUUUCAUACUUCACUUGUAUAUUUACUGUUACAAGACCUUUCAAUGGGUAUAAAUUAAAACAUUUGACCUCAACGUCUAGUUUAACCCACUUUUAAAAAACUUUAACUUUGAUCAUAACUUUUGAGCUGAUAGUAGUACGGCUUUCAUAUUUCACAGAUUUAUUCUUUGUGACAAGUCCUUCCUUUGAUGUCAACAAUUUUGACCUUUGACCUUGACUUUGGAGUUUGACUUGCAAUCGGGAAACUUAAACCUUAAGCUGGCAUAUGGGGUAUCAGUAUGUUAUA